This 1326-nucleotide unclassified non-coding RNA is filed under the name uncultured Neocallimastigales. RNAcentral's name for it is "partial contains internal transcribed spacer 1, 5.8S ribosomal RNA, internal transcribed spacer 2, and large subunit ribosomal RNA". The stretch from base 585 to 1326 matches the Rfam family "Eukaryotic large subunit ribosomal RNA", at positions 1 to 620 of the family's 3401-position model. The record is from RNAcentral. Lineage: Eukaryota; Fungi; Neocallimastigomycota; Neocallimastigomycetes; Neocallimastigales.
UAAAAUAUCCUACCCUUUGUGAAUUUGUUUGUUUGAAUAAUUUUUUUUUUAAAAAUUAUUGGAGUCUUUCCUUUAGAGUUUGCUUUUGAGUUUGUAAAGAAUUCGAAAACAUCUAAACGGGGAUGGUCAAUAAUUUUUUUUGAAAAAGACAUUUUUUAAAAUUAAACUUUUGUAUUCAUUUGUCUAAAAUUAUUUUUAUAAUAUAAAAACAACUUUUGACAAUGGAUCUCUUGGUUCUCGCAACGAUGAAGAACGCAGCAAAAUGCGAUAAGUAGUGUGAAUUGCAGAAUACGUGAAUCAUCGAAUCUUUGAACGCAUAUUGCACUUUUUUAGUUUACUAAAAAGUAUGUCUGUUUGAGUAUCAGUAAAAUAUUCUCAUAAAAUCAUUGUGUAUUUUUAUGGUUAUGAGUGUUUUACAACGAUACAAGUUGUUUCACUUUAAAUUUUUUUUUAAUAUUGAAAUUUUUCUAAUUUAAUAAUUAAAAUUGGAUAAAAUUUUCCCGUCAAAAGGAAUAACCUAAACAAUUUUAAAUGAUUAAUUUUAGCAAAAUUUCGAAAAAAGGAAAAUUUUUAUUAAAAUAACUUGAUCUCAAAUCAGAUAAGAGUACCCGCUGAACUUAAGCAUAUCAAUAAGCGAGGAAAAGAAACUAACAAGGAUUCCCUUAGUAACGGCGAGUGAGCGGAAGAGCUCAAUCUGAAAUCUUCAAGUUUUACCUUGACGAUUGUAGUUUAAAGAAGUGUUUUCUGCUGAAGUUUUGGUAAAGUUCUUUGGAAUAGGACAUCAUAGAGGUGAGAAUCCCGUAUUUGACCAUUAUUUCAGCUUUGUGAUACACUUUCAAAGAGUCGAUUGUUUGGAAUGCAGUCCAAAAUGGGUGGUAAAUUUCAUCUAAAGCUAAAUAUUGGCGAGAGACCGAUAGCGAACAAGUACCGUGAGGAAAAGAUGAAAAGAACUUUGAAAAGAGAGUUAAACAGUACGUGAAAUUGUCAAAGGGAAGCGUUUGACACCAGUGUUGUUUUCUCGAAAAUCAAUUAAAAAUGGCUCGAUUUUGUAUUGCUGAGACCUUAAAAGCUCACUGUACAUUUUUCGUGUCUUUUUUAUGCACUUUCGUUUAACAAGUCAACAUCAGUUUCUUUGUUGUAAAAGGUCAUUGAAGGUGGCUUUCUUUCGAGAAAGUGUUUAUAGCCUUUGGCCUCUGCAAUCGAAGAGACUGAGGUCUGCAGCGUAGACUCUCGGGUUAGAUACAUUUGUGCUAAGUUAUAGCUUUUUAUAGACAACUUGUUGACUAUAAUUAGUCUUGUAGCUUACUCGCUUAUGCUAUUUACUAC